This 6798-nucleotide long non-coding RNA is filed under the name Zostera marina. RNAcentral describes it as "long non-coding RNA (ZMAR_LNC001151)". Lineage: Eukaryota; Viridiplantae; Streptophyta; Magnoliopsida; Alismatales; Zosteraceae. The record is from RNAcentral.
GAAAACCAUAACAUGAAGAAAUAGAAAACCAUAAGAUGAAGAAAUCAUACCGGAACGAUGGGGGGAGCAAUCACCGGAACGGGGGAGCGAUCACCGGCGGACUGAGGAGGGAACGACGGCGCGAUGAUUGGCGGAGCGAGCGGCAGCAACCGGCAGGAGCGGACGACGGCGACAGAGGCAAGGAUUCAGCGGCAGCAGCGAUUUCGGCAGUAAGGUGCGUGUUCUGUCUGGAUUUUGGGUUUUUAAUAAACCCCAAAACUUACAUGGCGGAAAUCCGCCAUGUAAGUACACUUAAGUUCCGACGGGACUUAAGUGAAAGUCCGCCCAAUCGAAAUUUGGGCGGGCUUUUUCCGCCCAACUCCUCGAAUACUUAACAUAGCGCCCAAUCGAAAUUUAGGCGGGCUUUUUUCGCCCGACUCCCUGAAUACUUAACAUGGCGGAUGUCCGCCAUGUUAAGUCAAUUUAAUCGGGUAAUCGGGUUGAAUAUUGGGGAGAUUCGAAAUUUUGGGCGGGAUAGUUUAGAUGACGGAUUUCCGUCAUCUAAACACCGCCAUCGGAAAAAAAUUUGAACCGUCGUCGAGCUAAAACCUUUUCUCAGCGGACUCAAAGAAUAGAUGGCGGACAUCCGUCAUCUAAACAAUUGGAUUAUUGAUGACGGAAAUCCGUCAUCUAAAGACCGCUAUACAAGGUCCUUUUUUUUGUAGUGUCCUCCACCGAAGAUUAAAUUUAUUACUCUUCUCUUGUGGUCAUAGUCUGAGUCAGGACUUCUUGAGCGUUGGCGCUUACCCUUGUUUUUUGGGUCCUUGCAACCUUGUUGCCCCCUCUCUACUUUAUUUAUAUAUUGCUUUAGUUUCCCUUCCUUUACCUGUGUGUCUAGGAAGGUGCUUAGUGUUGGAUCGAGAUCCGAGGCUAUAAGGGGGGAUAAUAGCCUCUUUUUAAUUUAUACAGGUUGAUUGCGGAAUUACCUGUAAAUGCUUAAUAAACAAAUGGUUGAACAAUAAUGAUAUAAAAAUAUUAUAAUUUUGAUUGAUAUAAUAAUGUAAUUAUUACUCUUCAAAGUUUACCACAGUAUAUGAAUAGUGUUUUACACUAUAGUGUUUUACACACAACUAUAAUAUAUGAAUACUAAGUUAUAUUGUAAACACAAAUUGUAUUGUAGAGUAAAUGAUCAGAUAACUGGAUAUAUUGAUAAGCAAGUAAGUGACCAGACAACUGGAUAUAUAUGAUAAGUAAUACUUAAACAAAUAUAAGGAUUUAAAGCAAUUAAUAUAACCUCGAUCAGAUGGUUGACCAGAUAACUGGAUGAGGGAUCUGCGUAAAGUAGUCAACCUCUGUAUUUGACCAGAUAACUGGAAGAGGGAUCCUUUUUAAUUAAGUGUUGUUUUUAGAUAUUUUAGAUAAAAGAUAAAACUAUAAUUAACAGAGAACAACACAAGAGAUUUAUACUGGUUCACCCAAACAAGGGCUAGUCCAGUCCCGACCAACUGUCGGAAUUCACUCGCCUAAAGGUUAUGGCAAAACCUUAGAGUAUCAAGGAAACUCUUAAGAACCUCUCUAAGCUUUAAGGCUACUUCGCUUAGGAACCAGUCUUUUACGGGUAGACUCACACCUUAGAGUAUCAAGGGCACUCUUAAGAACCUCUAACUUUUAAUUUGCAGGUAAGUUAGUACAUUAGAGUAUCAAGGAACUCUUAAAAACCUCUCUAAGCUUUAAAGCUACUUCGCUUAGGAACCAGUCUUUUACGGGUAGACUCACACCUUAGAGUAUCAAGGGCACUCUUAAGAACCUCUAACUUUUACGGGUAAGUUAGUACCUUAGAGUAUCAAGGAACUCUUAAAAACCUCUGAAAUCUUUAAAGAUAGACUCGACCUAAGAGUUUUCCCGGAAACUCUAUAAAACCAAACUAGAACUUUAUGGUUGAGCUCAAAAACCUUCUCUCACACUUUGGUACUAUUGAGACAACCCUCUCAACCAAAGUGGACCCACACAAGAGGUGAUUAGAGGAGUGAAAUAUUAAAGCAAACAACACUUCUUACUUGUAAAGAUGAACAAAAAGAUUAGAAGAAGAAGUUGGAGAGCUUUUGAAGCUUUGGAAAGCUAGGACACUUGAGCACUUGAAAACUUGGAAGCUUGGAGGCAAAAACGUGUGGGCAAGUGUGGAGUGAAAGCUCUUGAGUUUGCUUGUAGUGUGGUAAGUGAAAAUGAGGGGUUUACCCUUCUAUUUAUAGCCUUGGCACUCAAUGUCCACCCUUGGAUCUUCAAUGGAUGGCUCCUUGAUUUCUCACAUAAAUCCAAGUUUUGUCUUUGAUCUUAUCUUGAAUAGUGCUUUUCUUGGAUAGAGUUUGUUGGAGAAUCUUAUCUUUGUAUAAAUUCAAACUUGAAUAGUGUUUUGUCCCCUUGGAAUAUUAUACCUUGAAUAAAGUGUCAAAAGAUAAUAAUAAUAAUAUUCAAGGUAAAAAUGCAAUUAUUCCAAAUAAUAAUAUUCAAGUUAAAAAUGCAAUUCUCCCAAUUUGACUUUUAACUUUGACUUAAACCCUUAACUCAAAUGAUUAAUUAAUUAACUGGAGUUAGGUUUAAUAUCGAUUGACUUAUUUACCCCAUAUUGAUUAAUAGUGUAAUUAGGGUUUAAAUUGACAUGAUUAAAAUAUAAUCCUAUGUCGACAAUUUUGAUUCUACACUUAGCUCCCUGCAAUUUUCUGUAUUGUGCCCGUAGUCCUUGUGGAACUUGCAGUACCUGUUCCUCUUUGUUCGGGCCUCUUUUGUUGGAGGGUUUAAUUCUUCUGGUUGAGGAAACCUUAUUCUUCCUUUUUCUUUAUUGUAGAUUUUCUCUUUUGGAGUGCUGAAAACCGUGAAUUCCAAGUCUUUAUACCUUGGAUAUUUCGAUUUUCCAAACUCCUCAGAUGUCUGGUAGACCUUCCAAUCGUGUUUUGGUCUCCAAGAUGAUUCUCCUUUUUCAAAUUUUUGAAAUUUUUUCUUUGGUGCUUUAUAUGCCUUUUUGUUGCUUAUGACACCUCUUUCUUUUUCUUUUUCUUUUUCAUACUCUUCAGAAUUUAUGUAUUUCUGGGUCUUUGUUAGCAGGUCUUCCAUGUAUUUUACAUUACUAACAUUUAGCUUUAUUGCUAAUGGUGUGUUCAUGUCUAGUCCCUUCGAGUAUGCGCAGAUUGCAAUUGUUGUGUUCAGGUCGGAGAUUUUUUGCAUGGCUUCUGUGAAUUUAGUUGUGUAAUUCCGAAGCGUAUCUCCAUUCUGUUUGAUUGCAAAUAAUGACUCCGUGCCCUUCCUGACCCUUGUGUUUCCACAAUGCUGGGAAUGAAUUUUUUUUUCAAGUCUUCAAAACUUGUUAUGUUCUCUGGUUGUAGUUCGACGAACCAUCUGUAUGUAGGCCCUUUCAGUGUUCCUGGAAAUGCUCUGCAUAAGAUGUCAUCUCUUGUUGUGGCCCAUUGCAUUGCCCCUACGAACAUGUUUAUAUGGUCUACUGGGUCCAUCUUCCCAUCAUAGAUUUGUAGCCUGGGUAGCCUGAACUUCAGAGGUGCUGGUUUUACCAUUAGCGAUUUAUGUAAGGCAUCCAUACCCACUAGCCAGUUCGGGACUUCGCCUCCUUCUCCUUCUGUGUAUCCCGUGCCUUCUUCAUAUACGGGUUUUUUAGGAGGAGGUUUAGAUUGCUCCUCUGGCCUGCGGGGUGGCAGUGCACUGGAGUGUGCUGCCUUAUGGCUUGACACCUCCUGUUGUGCCUUAGCCUGUUUUGACGUUUGAGCCUUUGAAUGAAACAAUGAUGCUUUAGAUUUUUCAAUAUUCUUUAUUUUUUCGCUUAUCUUUGCUAUGGUUUCUUUCAUUUUCUUCAGCUCCUCUAUGGGCAUCCUUACGAAUCCGUGAGUGGCUUCUGAUGUUGUAGCCCUUGCUUUCCGGUUGCUCACAGGUUUUUCCUUCUGAGGUGCUUCUUCUGAAGGUUUCUCCUUCUCAGCAAGGAGUCGAAUGGCCUCAGCUAUUGUCCGUACUGUGAUGUUCAGGUUUUCCCCUCCUACUGAUGCUUGGGGGGUUUGCUCGGGCUCACUCUCGGGUUCAGCCUCAGGUCCAGUGGGAGUCCUUUUAUUUCUGUUGCCUUGGGUGGUCGACCCACUGGUCUUUUAGUUUUUGAGUUGUCAGGCUGUUGCUCUGGCGCCUCCUGAGAAUUUGCUCCUCCUUGAGAAAUACUCCGUGUUACCACCAUCCUGGAGUGUUCGACUUUUUUUUAAAAAGUUGAUUCCUGUGCACUUGGGGAAUUCCUUGGAAGUCGUAGCCUGAAAGCGUAGCUCCUUGAGGAAUUGACUUUUUCCCUUGGAAGAAAAAAAUCGAUCUUCUGAAAAGUCGAUCCCUUGCUGGCUGAUUUUCUCGCAAGACUCCCUAGCUGGCGACUUGGAAAAAAGUCGAUCCCUUUUUUCGAAAAAGUCGAGGAGCUUUUGUCGUGAGUAUCUUUGAAUCACAGACGGCGCCAACUGAUGGGGGUGAAACCCGACCAGUAUUCCAAGACGCGCAAGCAAGCGCCAAGCGGGGAACUCCGCGGGAAAUCGGACCGGAACUCAAGUGUGCAGAGCUCUGCUUCGCUAGAACUUCUUCCACUCCAAAUGACCUGCCUUUAAUGAGUGGGGGAUGCCUUCUAUUUAUAGGGGUUCUUAUGGGGGUAAUCUGGUCAUUUGUGCAGUAACUGCCUAACUGAUCAGAUCGAGGCCCAAGGUCGACUUUCCAGAGAUCGACUUUCUGGGGAUCGACUUUCCUGGUGAUCGACUUUCCUGGUGAUCGACUUUAUUCAGAAGUCGAUCCCAGGGAAGUCGAUCCUCAGGAAAGUCGAUCUUCCUAGGAUUCGACUUGGGACCUCCCCAACCCUAGAAUAGGUUCCUCAACUCAUCUUAGGCUAUCCGAACUUUUAGUUGCUGGUAAGUUGUGACCGGAUUCGGGAUACUGUAUCACCAGUACUCCCCCCUCCUCUACGUAUUAGAUAUCUUAGGAUACGUCUUUUAGUACUAUGGUCUGUGUGUUGGACCUUGUACUAUCAACCCUCAAAUUUGAAUGCAUCUAGUCAUCUCAAUUCUUUCAGCAUUAGGAGUGUUUAAGAAUUUGAAGUACUUUUUUGCUAAAUAAACCCAGUUGGUGACAUUGUCCCCUUUGAACUUAGGUAAAUUCAUUUUCCCAAGACAAGGUUUAUGCAUAGGUUUGUUACCAGAAGGUCUAGUUUCAAGAGAAGCUCUGACCUCUAGAUUUUUUCCCAUCAUCUCAGUAAGUUUGCCCAUGGUCAGCUGACUCAGCUCCAUAGCAGCCAACCCUGUCUACAUUGCCUCAACCAUCCUUUAGGAUCCUACAAUGAGUAGUUUCUUAGGAAGAGAAUUGGAUGAUUUCAUAUUAAUCAGAUGCUUCCCUGAUGUAGAUCGAGUAUAUAUAGAUCCCGAUCAAAUCUUGAAAGGUUGUCAAAUUUUUUGAUUCCUUUUAUUAGAACAUUAUAGAAGAAGCUCCAAACCUUGCAAUACUGAUUCCUAACUCUUAUAAAAUUAAGCAAAGAUGGAGGGAAAAGGCCGUUAAUCCGACUUUAAGAUUGAUUUUAUUAAAUAAAAUCAUGAUAAAUAUAUACCCAAAAAAAUGGUACGCCACGCGAAAGUGAACCCCGCUAAACCUAACCUCUUAUAAAGGCAUGUUUGAAGGUUACAAGUGAUACAACUCAUAAUACAAACAAGUCAACCCACACACUCCUUAAAAACUCGUCUGUCUAGUCUCAGGUUUAUUCGACUUUAAGAUCGAAUAGCCGCAACUCUCUUGUUUUUUCAUUCAAUAACAUAUUCCAAUGUUUAGUUUAGCUAUUUAUAGAAAUUAAAGACUUAACAAACUAAAGCAAUUAAACUACUAUAUAUAGUUUUUUAAAAGUUAAUACUUGAUCCAACAGGUCAAAUAGGACAGGCCCAUCAUCCAGUCCAGUUGAGACCUAAAAAAAGGUUUAAUUCAUAAAAAUGGGUCAAAUGAGCCCAUUUUUCCAACGUUUCCCAAUUCAUAAAAAUGCGUGAUCAAUCGAUUAAAAUAGAGUUAAAUUGAUUUUAUCCUCACCCACAUGCCAAUUGGCCAACAUGACCUAACUAGCUCGUGCCCACUUGCGAUAUUAAACCCUAACAAAAUAAAAUCCAAACUUCACAAGCAAAUUAAAACUCGGCUUCAAAAACGGACUAGGUUUAGGUUAUAGUACACUCCAUCUCCGUUUCCCAAUGCUCUCUGCCAUCUAUGUGUGCAAGUUUCGAAACCGCCAUCGAUCGUACCAACAUUAAAUCACCAAAAAUAUGUACAUUAUCCAAAAAUAUCUUUUAUUUUUUAUAAGCUUUACUUUCGAUUUUAUAAUUAUAAUAAUUUUUUUUAUCAAUUUUUUUUUAUCCAGCUUGUAAUCGGACGAAAACAGAUAGUAGUGAUAUCUGCUGGUAAAUAUUAUUAUUUGGCGGGUCGCAAAUUGAAUGAGACGACGGUCAAGCUCACUGGCUCCUGCCUCGGUUCCUGUCCCGGACCCGACGACCAGGGCAUGAAACUUGGCGGAUCCAGGGCGACCCGUCCAAAAUACAAAUUAUAAACAAUUUGUAAUUUACAUUGUAAAUUUUUAGUUUUUACCCUAAAUUCCUAAAGAGUAAAGAAUAUAAUCUAAAUGGACUUAAGGCUUAAGCCCACUAAGUUUAAAAUCCUAAAUGAAUAAUAAAUUAUUAUUAAAAAAAAAAUGACUUUAAAAAAAAAAAACUUAUUCAAUAUUAAAUUAUUAAAUCAUAAAAAUUUAAAAUCUCAUUUUAUUUAUUUCUCUCUCUU